GAUUGAAUAUGCAGAAACAUGGU
This 23-nucleotide non-coding RNA is filed under the name Arabidopsis thaliana (thale cress). Lineage: Eukaryota; Viridiplantae; Streptophyta; Magnoliopsida; Brassicales; Brassicaceae. The record is from RNAcentral.